Non-coding RNA from Podarcis lilfordi (Lilford's wall lizard), 81 nucleotides. The record is from the annotation of a GenBank genome assembly. NCBI's taxonomy places the organism in Eukaryota, Metazoa, Chordata, Lepidosauria, Squamata, Lacertidae.
ACCUCAGUAAGGAUAGCUCAGUUGGCAGAGCACGACAGAGCAUUAAUCUCAGAGUUGUGGGUUCGAGCCCCACAUUGGGCA